CCCUUAGAUGUUCUGGGCCGCACGCGCGUUACACUGAUGCAUUCAACGAGUUCUUCCUUGGCCGAGAGGCCUGGGCAAUCUUUUGAACGUGCAUCGUGAUAGGGAUAGAUUAUUGCAAUUAUUAAUCUUGAACGAGGAAUUCCUAGUAAACGCAGUUCAUCAAACUGCAUUGAUUACGUCCCUGCCCUUUGUACACACCGCCCGUCGCACCUACCGAUUGAGUGGUCCGGUGAGGCUUUGGGAUCUGAGCAAAAAGAGCGUUUCGCUCGUUUGGCUCGGAAAACUCAGUCGAACCUUAUCAUUUAGAGGAAGGAGAAGUCGUAACA
Molecule: ribosomal RNA, 326 nt
Filed under: uncultured eukaryote
Lineage: Eukaryota
Description: partial 18S ribosomal RNA
Rfam family: Eukaryotic small subunit ribosomal RNA
Source: RNAcentral